Scylla paramamosain (green mud crab) is the source of this 318-nucleotide long non-coding RNA. RefSeq lists it as uncharacterized. The transcript has 3 exons. NCBI's taxonomy places the organism in Eukaryota, Metazoa, Arthropoda, Malacostraca, Decapoda, Portunidae. The record is from RefSeq and is a predicted model, not a curated record.
CGGGUUUCUUCGACUGGUGUUGUUUUAAAAGGCCUACAGGUGGCGGAGUACGGGUGGCGGGAAGAGGUCGCGGCAGUAUUUUAAUGUAUGCAUUAUUACCUCGGCGUAUUUUCAAGAACACCAUCGACUUGGUUCCCGCAUACAGGACAAAAUGAUGGCGGUCUCGUCAACUCUACGGGUUUUGAAUAUCGCCGUGACGCAGUGGGUGGACGUGCUGUGUGUCCUUCUCAAUUAAGGUUCAACCCUCAACCUCAGGUAAACGAGGACAGGUGAGCGGGACACCUUACCUGGCCAAGGCGGAAGGGAAAUGAAUGCUUG